RNAcentral lists this long non-coding RNA (259 nucleotides) under Vigna radiata. RNAcentral describes it as "long non-coding RNA (VRAD_LNC016666)". The record is from RNAcentral. Lineage: Eukaryota; Viridiplantae; Streptophyta; Magnoliopsida; Fabales; Fabaceae.
GGGCAAUUACACACAAUUCCCUGAUUUAUUUAAGUGCAAUAAACCAAAUAUAGUCAAGAAAUAACGACUCAUCAAAAUAGACCACACUUAGUCUUUUGCACUCCUGGGCAAAAUCAAGACGCAAAACAGGGAACAGUUCCGUAGACAUCAGGAAAUUGACACAACCUCAGCACACAGAAAACAAAGACUCAUAAGGUAAGAAAUAGAGUGACACAAUUCAAGAAAUCUGGACAAAGAUAAGAAGUAAACAAUAUCCACA